RNAcentral lists this ribosomal RNA (440 nucleotides) under uncultured bacterium. RNAcentral describes it as "partial 16S ribosomal RNA". It matches the Rfam family "Bacterial small subunit ribosomal RNA", at positions 338 to 795 of the family's 1533-position model. The record is from RNAcentral.
CCUACGGGCGGCAGCAGUGGGGAAUAUUGCACAAUGGGGGAAACCCUGAUGCAGCGACGCCGCGUGAGUGAAGAAGUAUUUCGGUACGUAAAGCUCUAUCAGCAGGGAAGAAAAUGACGGUACCUGACUAAGAAGCCCCGGCUAACUACGUGCCAGCAGCCGCGGUAAUACGUAGGGGGCAAGCGUUAUCCGGAUUUACUGGGUGUAAAGGGAGCGUAGACGGCAGCGCAAGUCUGGAGUGAAAUCCCAUGGCUUAACCAUGGAGCUGCUUUGGAAACUGUGCAGCUAGAGUGCAGGAGAGGUAAGCGGAAUUCCUAGUGUAGCGGUGAAAUGCGUAGAUAUUAGGAGGAACACCAGUGGCGAAGGCGGCUUACUGGACUGUAACUGACGUUGAGGCUCGAAAGCGUGGGGAGCAAACAGGAUUAGAUACCCGGGUAGUC